GCACUGGUGAGGAGUCCCACAGUCGGACGAAACGGCCGUCCAGUGC
Molecule: non-coding RNA, 46 nt
Organism: Schistosoma mansoni
Lineage: Eukaryota; Metazoa; Platyhelminthes; Trematoda; Strigeidida; Schistosomatidae
Source: Rfam